Molecule: long non-coding RNA, 284 nt
Organism: Harpegnathos saltator (Jerdon's jumping ant)
Lineage: Eukaryota; Metazoa; Arthropoda; Insecta; Hymenoptera; Formicidae
Exons: 2
Source: RefSeq, a predicted model, not a curated record
UUUUGUGACGUGCUCGCUUCAUUCUCUGGGCAGUCUUCGUAACGUGAACAGUGAAAAACUCGUGUUAAAAACGGAAACCACGUUUGUAGAUGAAGCAACGAUCAGCUAUGUGCAAAAUCUAGCAAAAUGUGAUAUUACGAAAGAAGAGUUGACGGACGCAAUAGAAUAUCUUCGAGAUGUCCUGAUACAAUUUCCGUCCAGUCUUGUUGACAGUCGCGAGGUAUUUUACAACGUCAAUCAAAUAUGUUUUCCACCAACUAUACAUAGUCAAAAGUGUAUUUGUG